GGCUUAACACAUGCAAGUCGAGGGGAAACGACAUCGAAAGCUUGCUUUUGAUGGGCGUCGACCGGCGCACGGGUGAGUAACGCGUAUCCAACCUGCCCAUCACUUGGGAAUAACCUUGCGAAAGUAAGACUAAUACCCAAUGACAUCCCACGAAGGCAUCCGAAUGGGAUUAAAGAUUUAUCGGUGAUGGAUGGGGAUGCGUCUGAUUAGCUUGUUGGCGGGGUAACGGCCCACCAAGGCAACGAUCAGUAGGGGUUCUGAGAGGAAGGUCCCCCACAUUGGAACUGAGACACGGUCCAAACUCCUACGGGAGGCAGCAGUGAGGAAUAUUGGUCAAUGGGCGAGAGCCUGAACCAGCCAAGUAGCGUGCAGGAAGACGGCCCUAUGGGUUGUAAACUGCUUUUAUAAGGGAAUAAAGUGGGUCACGUGUGACUUUUUGCAUGUACCUUAUGAAUAAGGACCGGCUAAUUCCGUGCCAGCAGCCGCGGUAAUACGGAAGGUCCGGGCGUUAUCCGGAUUUAUUGGGUUUAAAGGGAGCGUAGGCCGGAGAUUAAGCGUGUUGUGAAAUGUAGAGGCUCAACCUCUGCACUGCAGCGCGAACUGGUCUUCUUGAGUACGCACAACGUGGGCGGAAUUCGUGGUGUAGCGGUGAAAUGCUUAGAUAUCACGAAGAACUCCGAUUGCGAAGGCAGCUCACGGGAGCGCAACUGACGCUGAAGCUCGAAAGUGCGGGUAUCGAACAGGAUUAGAUACCCUGGUAGUCCGCACGGUAAACGAUGGAUGCCCGCUGUUGGCCUGAAUAGGUCAGCGGCCAAGCGAAAGCAUUAAGCAUCCCACCUGGGGAGUACGCCGGCAACGGUGAAACUCAAAGGAAUUGACGG
RNAcentral lists this ribosomal RNA (881 nucleotides) under uncultured bacterium. RNAcentral's name for it is "bacterial SSU rRNA". It matches the Rfam family "Bacterial small subunit ribosomal RNA", at positions 45 to 916 of the family's 1533-position model. The record is from RNAcentral.